GCUCAGCACUGCUUCAUGUCUGGCCUUCCCACUCUGUUCGUAACAUGUUACAUAUUCAAUCUUGAGUACCAGGAUGGGGCAGCGUGUAUCUUGAGUCCACUGAAAGAUAUUAAUCCAGAGAGUGGAACAAGAAGAAGCGUCAUCUAAAAUGCCAGGAUACAGAAGCCACAUGUCGCCGCUCUUCUAAACACAAUGAUGAAUUUUCAGUGUAAUCGAUGAAAAUUCCAGCUACUUGUUGUGCUCUGAUGGAUCAAGAUGUGGACCAUUUUACAGACUCAUUCGGGCCUUGUUUUGCAAUGUUGUUUCAUGAUGGUAAUGUUGGUUAACGCGUUGUUUAAACAUGAAUGUUUAAAGAGCCAUGUUGGAUACUAUGAAGUUGUAACUGAAUAAAAUUAUUUCAUGUACAACAACGUACACGAUUCGUCUGUAAUGUAUUUUUGUAUCAAUUAAAAAAAAUUAAACACUGUAUAUCCAGUAUGCAAAACGUACUAGAUAUACAGUGAUUUAUGUAUUUCUUCUAAAUAAA
Molecule: long non-coding RNA, 526 nt
Organism: Triplophysa dalaica
Lineage: Eukaryota; Metazoa; Chordata; Actinopteri; Cypriniformes; Nemacheilidae
Exons: 3
Source: RefSeq, a predicted model, not a curated record